GGCAGUUUCCUAGCCUCCGCCUUUUCCUACCCAUGUUUUCCACGAAUCACGUUUCCCCCAAAAUUGGAUCGUGGGUUCAAUGCAGUUGCGGAUGGGUAGAAAGCAGUUGCCGAGCAGCCUUAUAUAAUGUAAUAUGUCUAUUAUCCUAUUUAUUGCUCACUUGAUUGAUUCCCCCGAACAAACUUCUGAAAUCUGGUGAGUUGCUUCUAAUUGAAUCCUUCAAUAAUAUCUUCUAAAAUCCAUUGUGUUAAUUACUUGAUGGAAGUGUUGAAGGUAAUUUUUCUGUCAUAAAUAAUUUCUGCCCUAAAUCGAUUUGCCCUAAUUAUGCUCUGGUCUAUUCUGUUAGUUUGUUCAAUAAACAUUGAUAGAUGUCAAGUAUGUUGAAAGUUUAAAUUUAUAAGUGUUUUUUUUUCAGUGCUAAUUUUGUUGUUCAGUGUGUACUGACUGUAGUUGGUUUUUUGGUUAAGAUGAUGAAGAAGAAUCCUUAGGCACGAAAAGAACAUGCGGCCACAGUGGGAGGUGUUUUGUAAGCAUUAAGUAUUCAUACAAAGAUGGUGAAUCUGAAAAUUUUGAUUGUUGUAGGCCUGUAGUGAUGUUUCUAAUAAUAAUCUUUGUGGUAAGAUACCCUUUGAUGGCCCUUUCACAAGCUUCCCAAUCGACGGAAUUCAAACUUAAGGGUUAUAAAGACAAACUUCAAAAGUUGAGUGGGAUGGCAUGUUAAGUGGGUUCAAGCAAUUCGAAAAGGUGAAUCUUCUGGUCUUGAAAUCGCAGGUUGAAAUCCAUUUGUCAAAAUCAAAUUUGACUAUUUGAAGCAUAUCCAAAGUAAUUGAGAAUGAGUAUGGAUAUAUAUUGAAUUUCUGAUACAGAGUAUUGGACAUGUGUUAUUUAUGU
RNAcentral lists this long non-coding RNA (891 nucleotides) under Helianthus annuus (common sunflower). Lineage: Eukaryota; Viridiplantae; Streptophyta; Magnoliopsida; Asterales; Asteraceae. The record is from RNAcentral.